This 253-nucleotide ribosomal RNA is filed under the name uncultured bacterium. RNAcentral describes it as "partial 16S ribosomal RNA". It matches the Rfam family "Bacterial small subunit ribosomal RNA", at positions 524 to 776 of the family's 1533-position model. The record is from RNAcentral.
UACGAAGGUCCCAAGCGUCGUUCGGAAUCACUGGGCUUAAAGGGCGCGUAGGCGGUCGAUCAAGUCAGGGGUGAAAUCCUGCAGCUUAACUGUAGAAGUGCCUUUGAUACUGAUCGUCUGGAGGGAGAUAGGGGUGUGUGGAACUUCCAGUGGAGCGGUGAAAUGCGUUGAUAUUGGAAGGAACGCCGGAGGCGAAAGCGACGCACUGGAUCUCUUCUGACGCUGAGGCGCGAAAGCUAGGGGAGCGAACAGG